UUCUUCAGCUGUGUCCUCCUUCAGCUUCAUCUCUCACUCACUGCCUCAACAUAUUUCUGAGUUGCCUCAAACCAUCAAUGUCUAAUGCUAAAGCACUGAACCAGGGCUCACUCGUGACGUAAGUCAGGAGAGAUUUUCCAGAAUUAUGAGGAUAUUCUGAGGAAGAACCAGUAUUAUUUACAGGACAAAGAAAAACUAAAGGAUGCUUUUACUGGAUUGGUUCGCUGCUUGUCACUCUUGCCAUUAAUGAAAGAGAAACAGAUUUUCAUAAUAAGGAUACUGGGAAAAGGGUAUUGCUUGUGUUUCAAGUUGAUGCGUUUGUGAGCUCUAAUGGUUUUUCUUAUAACAUAAAGAAACUGAAGGAUCUAGUGCUGGCUUUAAUAAAUAGUUUCCUGGAAUUUAUUCCAUUGGUUCAUGCUAUGGAAGGUCUUGAAGGGAAGAUUUUUGGUUGUAUGGUAUUUAUUUUUCGUAGCAUAGAUCUUUGUAGUUAUGACCAUUGCUUAUAGGACUGAAAGAUUCCUAUUAUGUUUUCUGAUAUUAUGCGUUCCAGAAAAUGGUGAUGAACAGGAAGGCAGGAAGCUCCCUCCAUUCAAUCAAGUACUCAGCAUUAUUAUCUCCUACCGUGCUUUUUCUUGUUUGAUUGGUACCAUAAAUCAUCUUGUGUUGAAGAGAAUGGGAUCAGCUGUAACUGAAAGCAGUUUGUCACUGGUAUCUGAUAAAUGCACUCAACAUAUAAGGAACUGUUUGAUUAGGGUGAAUGCUGUUACUUCACAAGGAUGCUAAAUUGCAACAGAUUAUGUCUUUAGUCAAGGAAGAUAUUGAUAACAUCAUACAGCAAGUUCGUUGUUUACAGCUAUCAAAUUUAUUAUGUUUGGUUGAACGAGGUAAGAUGGAGUGUUGGUGGCACAUACAAGGUCGGUAGUUCAAUGUAAAGGUCUUCCAAGGUGGAUGGGUGUGAUGGUUCUUCAUGGUGGAUGGGUGUGGUAACAGUGAUAACAUACAAGGAUAUUCCCACGCUUAAGUCAGUACGUGUUUAACAAAAUAACAGUAAGGUAUAAAGUCUAGUACUUGAAUGGUGAUUCCUCUCACUAUUUAAUUAGAUAUCAUAGGUUAGGUGAGUCUUGGUUAGCUAAUGUCAUCAACCAUCAACCUCUUGUGAUCCCCUUACCAUUUAUGCAAACAUGCAAAGUUAGGCAAUGUUCAAGCCGAUGAACUGGUAUUCAGUUGAGUUGUUGUGUUGUGGUUGCUGUCUAUGAAGCACGGACACUUCUGUAAAAUGGUGUGUUGGCAUGUCCGACACAUUUCAAUACGACUUUUGUUAGAUACACCUUAGACAGUGUUAACAACGUCAACAUUCCUCUGUCAUGUCACAAUUAAAAGUUAGGUUUUUUUUAAAAUUUUUUUUUCUCAAACAUCUGUUGGACAAAGUUUAGACACCUCUCCAACAAACCUGGACACAAGCCAAGAGAUUAAGCUGACAGUUAUUCUUGACUAAACAUUUAUCGAAGACUCUUAUUAUAUAAUGGAUUUACAAAGUCAACUUGUCAUGUCUGAUUCCUGGGUUGGAGUAGGUAUUUCACAAGUUGUGGUUACCAACAUCGAAGUGUUAGAAACUUGUCAUGUGUAGUUCCUGGGUUGGAGUAGGUAUUUCAUAAGUUGUGGUUACCAACUUUAAAGACAAGGUCCUUUUUUUCCGCCAUACCUCAGCCAAAAGGUUUGUGGAAAAGGAAAAAGUAAAGAGCAAUUAGAACCAUUGAAAUAUAUUGAUUUAUCUAGUUGCUUGGAUUGUUGACUUCAAGUAUGAGAAGUUGAUAUCAAUGGUGGGGAUGGUGGUGAAGUUAAUGACGUUUCAACUUGGAUCUAAUGGUCCGAAGAAGUCUUCUAGAGAUUGUGAUCAGUGGAUGCCUGAUCGUAGGAAGUCAGAUACAGCAGACGAUGAUGAGCAACUGUUUAGCGUUGUAUUGUACGAAGAUGUGAAUGAACACCUGUUCUCCCUCAGCACAUCAGAGGCUCAACUAUCUUUGUUGUCCCAAUUCGUUGACUUCUAUGGUGGGAAGAUGUCUCAAUUGAGAGUUUUCUGAUGUAGAUACUCUUUUGUGCACUCCAGUUGAUAUCAGUACUAGUAGUUGGGGUCGGUUUUCAAAAGCUAGGAAGGAAAAGUAUGUACUCUAGUAUUGUAACUAAUUAGGAGUCUAAUGUGCUAUGCUGGUAAAGGUUUCAAAAUAGCUGAUUAAGGACUUUUUUGGAUAAAUUUUUCCAUGGACACUUAUAGGAGUAGAAAAUGCGAAGGAAAAAAUUAAAUAAUUUUCUCCAUAUGCUAAAAUUAGGUACGCAUAAGUUAAAAAUAAGCAUAUGAAGAAGCUAAUAUGAGAAAGUUAGUACACAUCAGCUUAUUCAUAAGCUAAUUUAAACUGAUAGAGAAAUUUAUAUCA
Cajanus cajan (pigeon pea) is the source of this 2432-nucleotide RNA transcript. It is a transcript of the gene named Tetratricopeptide repeat (TPR)-like superfamily protein, with no coding region annotated. NCBI's taxonomy places the organism in Eukaryota, Viridiplantae, Streptophyta, Magnoliopsida, Fabales, Fabaceae. The record is from RefSeq and is a predicted model, not a curated record.